Molecule: ribosomal RNA, 466 nt
Filed under: uncultured bacterium
Lineage: Bacteria
Description: partial 16S ribosomal RNA
Rfam family: Bacterial small subunit ribosomal RNA
Source: RNAcentral
GAUGAACGCUGGCGGCGUGCUUAACACAUGCAAGUCGAACGGUAAGGCUCCAGCUUGCUGGGGUACACGAGUGGCGAACGGGUGAGUAACACGUGGGUGACCUGCCCUGCACUUCGGGAUAAGCCUGGGAAACUGGGUCUAAUACCGGAUAGGACCAUGGUGUGGAUACUGUGGUGGAAAGUUUUUUCGGUGUGGGAUGGGCCCGCGGCCUAUCAGCUUGUUGGUGGGGUAAUGGCCUACCAAGGCGGCGACGGGUAGCCGGCCUGAGAGGGUGGACGGCCACAUUGGGACUGAGACACGGCCCAGACUCCUACGGGAGGCAGCAGUGGGGAAUAUUGCACAAUGGGCGGAAGCCUGAUGCAGCGACGCCGCGUGGGGGAUGACGGCCUUCGGGUUGUAAACUCCUUUCACCAUCGACGAAGGGUUUCUGACGGUAGAUGGAGAAGAAGCACCGGCUAACUACGUG